UAGCGUGAGAGGAGGUGCAUGCCGGUCGUCAGUUCGUACUGUGAAGCAUCCUGUUAAGUCAGGCAACGAGCGAGACCCACGCCAACAGUUGCCAGCUCGUCCUCCGGGAUGGUGGGGACACUGUUGGGACCGCCUCUGCUAAAGAGGAGGAAGGAAUGGGCAACGGUAGGUCAGCAUGCCCCGAAUUAUCUGGGCUACACGCGGGCUACAAUGGGUGGGACAAUGGGUAUCGACACCGAAAGGUGAAGGCAAUCUCCUAAACCCAUCCGUAGUUCGGAUUGUGGGCUGCAACUCGCCCACAUGAAGCUGGAAUCUGUAGUAAUCGUGUCUCAAAAUGGCACGGUGAAUAUGUCCCUGCUCCUU
This 363-nucleotide ribosomal RNA is filed under the name uncultured Methanomicrobiales archaeon. RNAcentral describes it as "bacterial SSU rRNA". It matches the Rfam family "Archaeal small subunit ribosomal RNA", at positions 976 to 1338 of the family's 1478-position model. The record is from RNAcentral. Lineage: Archaea; Methanobacteriati; Methanobacteriota; Methanomicrobia; Methanomicrobiales.